GAUGAACGCUGGCGGCGUGCCUAAUACAUGCAAGUCGAGCGAACAGAUGAGGAGCUUGCUCCUCUGACGUUAGCGGCGGACGGGUGAGUAACACGUGGAUAACCUACCUAUAAGACUGGGAUAACUUCGGGAAACCGGAGCUAAUACCGGAUAAUAUAUUGAACCGCAUGGUUCAGUAGUGAAAGACGGUUUUGCUGUCACUUAUAGAUGGAUCCGCGCCGCAUUAGCUAGUUGGUAAGGUAACGGCUUACCAAGGCAACGAUGCGUAGCCGACCUGAGAGGGUGAUCGGCCACACUGGAACUGAGACACGGUCCAGACUCCUACGGGAGGCAGCAGUAGGGAAUCUUCCGCAAUGGGCGAAAGCCUGACGGAGCAACGCCGCGUGAGUGAUGAAGGUCUUCGGAUCGUAAAACUCUGUUAUUAGGGAAGAACAAAUGUGUAAGUAACUAUGCACGUCUUGACGGUACCUAAUCAGAAAGCCACGGCUAACUACGUG
This 497-nucleotide ribosomal RNA is filed under the name uncultured bacterium. RNAcentral describes it as "partial 16S ribosomal RNA". It matches the Rfam family "Bacterial small subunit ribosomal RNA", at positions 28 to 507 of the family's 1533-position model. The record is from RNAcentral.